GUUCUAAGAUCUUGUCAGAGGAGUUUGGAUGGGACAAGGAUCUUGCAAAGAAAAUCUGGUGUUUUGGUCCUGAGACUACUGGACCCAACAUGGUGGUUGAUAUGUGCAAGGGAGUUCAGUACCUGAAUGAAAUUAAGGAUUCUGUUGUUGCUGGUUUCCAGUGGGCUUCAAAAGAAGGUGCAUUGGCUGAAGAAAACAUGAGAGGUAUCUGCUUUGAGGUUUGUGACGUCGUCCUGCAUGCUGAUGCCAUCCACAGAGGCGGUGGCCAGGUUAUUCCUACUGCUAGGAGGGUUAUCUAUGCUUCCCAACUUACUGCUAAGCCCCGACUUUUGGAACCCGUGUACCUUGUGGAGAUCCAAGCACCCGAACAAGCUCUCGGUGGCAUCUACAGUGUUCUGAACCAGAAGCGUGGACACGUCUUUGAGGAGAUGCAGAGGCCAGGCACACCCCUUUACAAUAUCAAGGCCU
This 468-nucleotide long non-coding RNA is filed under the name Coffea arabica (coffee). RNAcentral describes it as "long non-coding RNA (CARA_LNC005778)". Lineage: Eukaryota; Viridiplantae; Streptophyta; Magnoliopsida; Gentianales; Rubiaceae. The record is from RNAcentral.